RNAcentral lists this ribosomal RNA (253 nucleotides) under uncultured bacterium. RNAcentral's name for it is "partial 16S ribosomal RNA". It matches the Rfam family "Bacterial small subunit ribosomal RNA", at positions 524 to 776 of the family's 1533-position model. The record is from RNAcentral.
UACGUAGGGUGCAAGCGUUGUCCGGAAUUAUUGGGCGUAAAGAGCUCGUAGGCGGCUUGUCGCGUCGGCUGUGAAAACCUGGGGCUCAACCCCGGGCCUGCAGCCGAUACGGGCAGGCUAGAGUUCGGUAGGGGAGACUGGAAUUCCUGGUGUAGCGGUGAAAUGCGCAGAUAUCAGGAGGAACACCGGUGGCGAAGGCGGGUCUCUGGGCCGAUACUGACGCUGAGGAGCGAAAGCGUGGGGAGCGAACAGG